RNAcentral lists this long non-coding RNA (1042 nucleotides) under Sus scrofa (pig). RNAcentral's name for it is "lncRNA (ENSSSCG00005025569.1)". The record is from RNAcentral. Lineage: Eukaryota; Metazoa; Chordata; Mammalia; Artiodactyla; Suidae.
AUGUUGUUGGUGAAACAGCAUCUAGUCCAGAAUCCAGUAGGACUCUGGAAACUUUUAGGAGGCGCGGACUAUUUUAAGACCCCGAGGAGGCAGCAGAAGGCUCCCGGUGGUGAUAAACCGCAGGGGAGGCCCUCGGAAGACGAUGAAGGUACAGCCCCCGGUGUUCUUAUAGGACCGCUGCCUUGCUCGUCGGCACGCGAGUGCGCUAGUCUGGGGACCGGGGAGCCCAGCCUGGAACGGCGCCCUGACCACACCUGCCCCCACCUCCAGUGCCACUCCGGGGUCCUCCCUGCCCUCCAUCAGGGGCACCUUCAUCGGCACGCCUGUCCCUUGUCCCAGUGAGCAUCUCUGAAAGCAGGUGGGGCUUCUGUCCCCAGACCUGCCCUGAGUGAGUGGAGGGCUCUGCAGGGAGGAAGGCUCAGGGCUCAGGGCUGAACCUCCUCCUGGGUGCAGACCUGUUGAGCGUUGCCGCUGCAUCCUCGCUUGGGGCGCUGACUGGCCCAGGGCAUGUCCCCGAGGGAGGAGCGGCCAAAUCAGUCUGAAGAGAGACUUCUGUGUGCCCUGGCCCAGCCCUGGUGCCCUUCACCUGCCAGGCUUAAGUCGCAUGUCUAUUCUGGAAUUAGCACUAUUUGGGAAUUACUAUUUUUUAUUUUAUCUUAUUUUACUUUAUCUUUUUAGGGCUGUACCUGCAGCAUAUGGAAGUUCCCAGACUCGGGGUCACAUUGGAGCUGCAGCUGCUAGCCUACACCACAACCACAGUAACGCCGGAUCCGAGCUGCAUCUGGGACCUACACCACAGCUCAAGGAAACACUGGAUCCUUAACCCACUGAGCGAGGCCAGGGGUGGAACCCACAUCCUCUUGGAUACUAGCUGGGGUGGUUUCCGCUGCACCACAGCUGGAACUUCUCCACGGUCCACUCUCUGGGGAUACUGUUUUCUGUGAUGAGUCACAGACACCUCACUGGAAUGUUGCGGGGUGGCAGAUGGGGGAGGAGAGUCCCACGACCUGUGGGUGUGCAGGGAUUACUCGAUUACUUGCCC